RNAcentral lists this ribosomal RNA (700 nucleotides) under uncultured bacterium. Its description in RNAcentral is "bacterial SSU rRNA". It matches the Rfam family "Bacterial small subunit ribosomal RNA", at positions 8 to 721 of the family's 1533-position model. The record is from RNAcentral.
AGAGUUUGAUCAUGGCUCAGGACGAACGCUGGCGGCGUGCUUAACACAUGCAAGUCAAGGGGGCCCGCAAGGGCAACCGGCGAACGGGUGCGUAACACGUGAGCAAGCUACCGAUUUGUGGGGGAUAGCCGGCCCAACGGCCGGGUAAUACCGCAUACGUUCACUAGGCGGCAUCGUCUGGUGAGGAAACCUCCGGGGCAAAUCGAGGCGCUCGCGGCCUAUCAGCUAGUUGGCGGGGUAACGGCCCACCAAGGCAUUGACGGGUAGCUGGUCUGAGAGGAUGGCCAGCCACAUUGGGACUGCGACACGGCCCAGACUCCUACGGGAGGCAGCAGUGGGGAAUAUUGCGCAAUGGACGAAAGUCUGACGCAGCGACGCCGCGUGUGGGAUGAAGCCUUUCGGGGUGUAAACCACUGUUGCCCGGGACGAAAUGCCCUUUCGAGGGAAUUGACGGUACCGGGUGAGGAAGCACCGGCUAACUCUGUGCCAGCAGCCGCGGUAAUACAGAGGGUGCGAGCGUUGUCCGGAAUCACUGGGCGUAAAGGGCGCGUAGGUGGCUUGGUAAGCGUGUGGUGAAAGUCCGGGGCUCAACCCCGGAUCUGCCGUGCGAACUGCUGAGCUUGAGCACUGUAGAGGCAGGUGGAAUUUCGGGUGUAGCGGUGGAAUGCGUAGAUAUCCGAAAGAACACCAGUGGCGAAGG